Molecule: long non-coding RNA, 465 nt
Filed under: Monodelphis domestica (gray short-tailed opossum)
Lineage: Eukaryota; Metazoa; Chordata; Mammalia; Didelphimorphia; Didelphidae
Description: lncRNA (ENSMODG00000038340.1)
Source: RNAcentral
ACUUUCCAACUGAAGAGACUUUCUGAAGAGAAACCUGAGCAGACUUUACCUCAACUCCUGUUGCACAGGGAGCCUCCCGAACACUGAGCUAGCUCUGGCAAUGCACCUGGCAAUCUCAUCAUCUAUCAUUUCGCUGGAAAGUAAACUGCCACUUGGGGCCAAACAUUUGAGAUGAAAUCCUAUCUAAUGGAGAUAUUCAAAGGACUAUAAGGAAAUUUUCAUUUUUGCAUAUUGACAGAAGAAAAGAAUAAUGUACAAGCUCAUAAUUUAGGCUUCUGUUUAUACUUCUAUUAUGAAGGCUAAUUCAUUUCUUAAUGUGCAAUAGAUCUUAAGGGUUGAUUGAAAGCAACACUACAUGAAAGCAUAAUUGCGCUUUUCAUGACAUUGAAACAUGAUUGUGGAAGUUAAAAUACUUUUUGUUUUCACUUAUAACUACAUAUUAUGUAAAACAACUAAUAAAAUGCC